RNAcentral lists this ribosomal RNA (220 nucleotides) under uncultured bacterium. RNAcentral describes it as "partial 16S ribosomal RNA". It matches the Rfam family "Bacterial small subunit ribosomal RNA", at positions 524 to 743 of the family's 1533-position model. The record is from RNAcentral.
AACGUAGGACACAAGCGUUAUCCGGAGUUACUGGGCGUAAAGGGCGUGUAGGCGGAUCGGUAAGUCUGCUCUGAAAGCUCCUGGCUAAACUGGGAGAGGCGAGCGGAGACUGUCGGUCUAGAGUGAGGAAGAGGAAAGUGGAAUUCCGCGUGUAGUGGUGAAAUGCGUAGAGAUGCGGAGGAACACCAGUGGCGAAAGCGGCUUUCUGGUCCUUAACUGA